CCUACGGGAGGCAGCAGUGGGGAAUUUUGGACAAUGGGGGCAACCCUGAUCCAGCCAUUCCGCGUGAGUGAAGAAGGCCUUCGGGUUGUAAAGCUCUUUCGGCAGGAACGAAACGGUCCGGGCUAAUACCCUGGGCUAAUGACGGUACCUGAAGAAGAAGCACCGGCUAACUACGUGCCAGCAGCCGCGGUAAUACGUAGGGUGCGAGCGUUAAUCGGAAUUACUGGGCGUAAAGCGUGCGCAGGCGGUUUUGUAAGACAGAUGUGAAAUCCCCGGGCUUAACCUGGGAACUGCGUUUGUGACUGCAAGACUUGAGUGCGGCAGAGGGGGGUGGAAUUCCACGUGUAGCAGUGAAAUGCGUAGAGAUGUGGAGGAACACCGAUGGCGAAGGCAGCCCCCUGGGUCGACACUGACGCUCAUGCACGAAAGCGUGGGUAGCAAACAGGAUUAGAUACCCUGGUAGUCCACGCCCUAAACGAUGCCAACUAGGUGUUGGGGAAGGAGACUUCCUUAGUACCGUAGCUAACGCGUGAAGUUGGCCGCCUGGGGAGUAC
Molecule: ribosomal RNA, 554 nt
Filed under: uncultured bacterium
Lineage: Bacteria
Description: bacterial SSU rRNA
Rfam family: Bacterial small subunit ribosomal RNA
Source: RNAcentral